GCACUGCUGAGGAGUCCCAUACCAUGACGAAACGACCGUCCAGUGC
Molecule: non-coding RNA, 46 nt
Filed under: Schistosoma mattheei
Lineage: Eukaryota; Metazoa; Platyhelminthes; Trematoda; Strigeidida; Schistosomatidae
Source: RNAcentral